UUAGUUUUAUUCCUAUUUUAUUUAGAUUUCCUAAUAUAAUUAGAUUUAGUUAAAGUUACUAUUUAGUAGAGCUAUUUUCCUCUUUGGUUGAUGAGUCUACAAACUUUGUGAAUACGCCUAAUUCUAUGUAUUUCAAUUUAGAGAAUUCAAUUAACAAAAUUUUCAGCAGAGAAUUUCUCUCAAUAUUUCACUCGUGUGUAUGAGUGUAUUAUCUUGUUAAGCUUCACGCUGCAUCAAGUGGUAUUAGAGUGAGGAAAUCUCUCCAAUCAAGAUGACUAACUUUGAUGGAGGUUAUGAUGACGAUGGUCCUCACGAUGGUGAUAAAGGAGCUAGAGCCUUUUACCAUAGAGACAAAACGUUGUGACGAUGAGAGCAACAUUUGGAGCAACAAGUGGAUAUCAGAUUCGAGCGCAUCAAGAGACACUUCAAAGAAAUUGAAGAUUGUAUUGAUGCUAUGGGAUUAAAAUUGACAAGGAUAGGAAUGAUGAUAGAAGGCCAGGAGAUGGUAUAGCUCAUGGUGACCUUAUUUUUCGAUGGUGAUGAAAAUUUGGAGGAGGAAGACAACUAUGAGCCAAUUUGGUACGAUAUACAUAAACGAUUUGGUGGUGAUAGGAGAAGAGCAUAGUUAUUAAAGGCUUAAG
Molecule: unclassified non-coding RNA, 641 nt
Filed under: Hevea brasiliensis (rubber tree)
Lineage: Eukaryota; Viridiplantae; Streptophyta; Magnoliopsida; Malpighiales; Euphorbiaceae
Source: RNAcentral